Molecule: ribosomal RNA, 485 nt
Filed under: uncultured bacterium
Lineage: Bacteria
Description: partial 16S ribosomal RNA
Rfam family: Bacterial small subunit ribosomal RNA
Source: RNAcentral
GAUGAACGCUAGCGGCAGGCCUAAUACAUGCAAGUCGAACGGUGUAGCAAUACAUAGUGGCGCACGGGUGCGUAACACGUAUGCAACCUACCUUAUACUGGGGGAUAGCCUUUGGAAACGGAGAUUAAUACCCCAUAGUACAUUUAGAUGGCAUCAUUUGCAUGUUAAAGAUUUAUCGGUAUAAGCUGGGCAUGCAUCCAAUUAGUUAGUUGGUGAGGUAACGGCUCACCAAGACUUUGAUUGGUAGGGGAACUGAGAGGUUAACCCCCCACACUGGCACUGAGAUACGGGCCAGACUCCUACGGGAGGCAGCAGUAGGGAAUAUUGGGCAAUGGAGGCAACUCUGACCCAGCCAUGCCGCGUGCAGGAGGAAGGCGUUAUGCGUUGUAAACUGCUUUUAUAUAGGAAGAAAUAGUCCUCGCGAGGAAAGUUGACGGUACCUGACCAGAAAGCCACGGCUAACUACGUGCCAGCCGCCGCCGUAA